UGUUGGUGAUGUGGGCAAUCUUUAAGAAGAGACUUGAAUCUUUCCAUGUAUGAUAGAAAUUUUUACCUGGAUUAUGCUUGAAAUUUAAGAUCUCACUCCUCAAUCU
Molecule: non-coding RNA, 106 nt
Organism: Capsicum annuum
Lineage: Eukaryota; Viridiplantae; Streptophyta; Magnoliopsida; Solanales; Solanaceae
Source: Rfam